UACAGAGGGUGCGAGCGUUAAUCGGAAUUACUGGGCGUAACGGGUGCGUAGGCGGAUAGAGAAGUUGGAUGUAAAAUCCCCGGGCUUAACCUGGGAAGGUCAUUUAAUACUUUCUGUCUGGAGUAUAGUAGAGGGGAGUGGAAUUUCCGGUGUAGCGGUGAAAUGCGUAGAUAUCGGAAGGAACACCAGUGGCGAAGGCGACUCUCUGGGCUAUUACUGACGCUGAGGCACGAAAGCGUGGGGAGCAAACAGG
Molecule: ribosomal RNA, 253 nt
Filed under: uncultured bacterium
Lineage: Bacteria
Description: partial 16S ribosomal RNA
Rfam family: Bacterial small subunit ribosomal RNA
Source: RNAcentral